Molecule: long non-coding RNA, 1027 nt
Organism: Bos taurus (domestic cattle)
Lineage: Eukaryota; Metazoa; Chordata; Mammalia; Artiodactyla; Bovidae
Source: Ensembl
GACGCCUCUGCUUAUCAACCAGAUAUUGAUUUCAGGUUUCCAAGACCCCCUCCUUAGGUUUGAUUAAUUUGCCAGAGGGGCUCACAGAACUCAGAGAAACGGUUUCCUUACUGGACUCAGAAACAGGCAGAUGGACGAGAUGCACAGGGCAAGGGAUGGGAAAGGGGUGCAGAGCUCCCAUGCCGUCUCUAAGCCACCCCUCUCCCAGAAUCUCCACGUGUUCACCAGCCAGGAAGCUCUCAGAACACUUUCCUUUGGGGUGAUAAAGGAGGCUUCAUCACAUGAGUGUGAUUGAUUAUGUCACUGACCAUUGGUGACUGAACUCAGUCUCCAGCCUCUGUCCUCUCCCAGAAGUCUAGAGCGCUGAACAAGCUCUAGCGAUGCUGUUGCCAAGCCCUUCAAUUCCUUCACCUCUGCUGGCUUGCAUUCCACAUACCAUGAAACAGCCCAGCCUGAGAGUUACCCUACUCUGCUGCCUCGACUCCACACUUCGGCCGAAGGAGAAAAUCCCAGUGAAUCUGCAAGACAUUUGAAACAAUACUUGACUCUCACCAUCACCGUUGCUUCAAGACGCAUUCAGUCCUUAACGCUUUGUGAUCUGAUGUCCAUCUGGGCCACCCUCCUGAAGAAACGCUUCGUCAAGAAAUCUAAGGAAUUCCUGCUUUGUAAGCCCAGUGGACCCUUUCAAUUUUCAUCUGACAGUUCCUUUAUGCAACACGUAGCGCCGCUAACCACUCCUUCCUUUUGGAAACACUCUUCUUUGGCUCCCCAAACACCAUCGUCCUGCCCCUCUGACCACUCCGGCUCAGUCUCUUUCCCAGUGCUCCUCUUCCUCAGACCAACCAUGAAAAGCCCCUGGUACUCUAUCUUCUCUAAAGCGUCUUCCUGACUGAUCUCACCCAUAUACUGAUGAAAACUUUAUUUACAGCCCCAACUUUUUCCUGGGCUUUGUAGAAAUAUAUCUAAUUACAUAUCAUGGCCACAGUUACUGACUUCACUGCCCUGAUUCAGUGCCUCACAUCCCUCA